UGGCGGCUUCCUGUCAUUUGGAUGUGAGAGUAGCAUGGGAGCUUCAAUGAAUACCGAAUUGGGAUCGUAUAGAAGCUCAGAGGCUGCACCUGUCAUUCACAUAGACAGUUUAGCCAUUGUCAAAGCAGCAAUUUCGACUGGCACAGAAACGCUCAUCUGAAUGUCAUCUGUCAAUGUCGU
This 180-nucleotide long non-coding RNA is filed under the name Dermacentor andersoni. Its description in RNAcentral is "uncharacterized LOC126523997". The record is from RNAcentral. Lineage: Eukaryota; Metazoa; Arthropoda; Arachnida; Ixodida; Ixodidae.